CCAAGUCCAGCAAUGAGUACGGUAAUGCUGACAUGGCCCAAAGAGGGUGAAAGGCCCGUUGGGGUGGAGAGGUAGAAAUGACAGUGCGUCCCUGGAUAGACCUUGGAGUCGGGUUGUUUGUGAAUGCAGCCCAAAGUGGGUGGUAAACUCCAUCCAAGGCUAAAUACUAGCACGAGUCCGAUAGCGAACAAGUACCGUGAGGGAAAGUUGAAAAGUACUUUGAAGAGAGAGUAAACAGUGCGUGAAACCGCUCAGAGGUAAACAGGUGGAGUUGAACUGUGAGCUCUGUGAAUUUAGCUGGUGAGUGUGGUUUGAGCUUGGUCAAAUUGGUUGUAUCUUGGGGUCUGCAUAGCAGCAGGUCUCCACCUUUUGGUGGGGAUGCGCGAUACACUUAUCAAGUGUUGCGCGCUCCUUGUUUAUUCGGGCCAGCUUGCCAGUGCACUUUCGCAGAGUGUUCACCACGACCGGCAUCGCUGUCUGACUGUUGUGGUUAAACCGGUCUUGCAUUGUCCUCGUGGCUUUGUCUGGUCGGGAUGGCAGGUAGCUCGUUGGUUCUCGGGUGUAAUCAGCUGACCACAUCGGUUCUGUGCAGUAUGUCGGAGACGGCGGCUUGUGGUGUGUGCGUGCGUAUCAGUUGACUGGCGGGUCCGGGUUUGGUUGUUAUCUUGCCUGUGUUCACAGGGCUAAUGAUAGCUCGGAUUCGUUCGGUUGGCGGUUGCGUGCGUGUCACUAUUUCCAGGGCCAAUAGUCUGUGGUGUUGCGGUAGACUAUCCACCUGACCCGUCUUGAAACACGGACCAAGGAGAGUAACAUGUGCGCGAGUCAUUGGGCGUAACGAAACCCAAAGGCGAAGUGAAAGUAAAGGUCUGGCUUGUCUGGACUGAGGUGAGAUCCUGUCGUGCCUCAUGCGCGGUAUCACCAAGCAUCGAGCGGCAGGCGCAUCACCGGCCCGUCCCAUGGUGUGGUGACCCUUUCCCUACAGUUUGUCACCGGGGCGGAGCAUGAGCGUACAUGUUGAGACCCGAAAGAUGGUGAACUAUGCUU
Molecule: ribosomal RNA, 1044 nt
Filed under: Liliatrema sobolevi
Lineage: Eukaryota; Metazoa; Platyhelminthes; Trematoda; Plagiorchiida; Liliatrematidae
Description: partial large subunit ribosomal RNA
Rfam family: Eukaryotic large subunit ribosomal RNA
Source: RNAcentral